Manis javanica (Malayan pangolin) is the source of this 1211-nucleotide long non-coding RNA. RefSeq lists it as uncharacterized. NCBI's taxonomy places the organism in Eukaryota, Metazoa, Chordata, Mammalia, Pholidota, Manidae. The record is from RefSeq and is a predicted model, not a curated record.
GGGACAAGGAGCGGUGGGGCCGGAUUUACCAUAAACUGCAAGAACUGUAAAAAUGGCGUCCUAUACUGUGCAUCGUGGCAGCUGACAAGGUAGAUAACAAAACCAUGUCACGUACCUUUUAUAUAUUAACAUAUGCAUGUCAAAGUUAGAAAUAACUGAAAACCAGUGAAUCAACCAAGUAGCAGCUAGUAAAAGUUUAGCGAGCCAGGACUCAAGCCAAGCACGGCUCGAGGCCGAGGCCGUGAUGGGAGCAGUGCCUGAUGAGGCCUCACAGAGGUUGGUUGUAUCAGCCUUUCCUUCAAUGGCAGGGGGCUGGUGUAGGUGACCUCCUGUCGGCCUCGGGGAACAGCUAAGAUCUGCUGUAAAGGAUCUGCAGAGGCAUAAACGAGAAAUGACCCAGUGUUCCCACUACCGUCAUUAUUGCAGUUGCUGGGCGGGGCAGAGAAGCCUUCACACCUGAUGUGUCCCCGUGACUACCGGGUGGUGCUGAGAGCCCAUGGCUGGGUUCUGAGCGAUCAGACGUUGAGAGCAGCGGGCCGGGCUGGGCUGGGCGGAACCAGGACCUCACGGAGGACUCAGAGCUGCCGCCACCUCGAAGGUCCCUGCCGCUCACCUGGAUUCUGAUCCUGGAGAAAUCCUCUUCCCUCACUCCACAGCUCCUCACCUCGCUCCAGCCGGAAAAUCACGUCUGCUCUGCAAUGCUGGCACCCUGUUCAUGGGAAAUGGUAUGUGGGUUUUGAGUUCUAUGCUAAUGAAAGUGCACGGCCAUCAAGUUCAGGACAGGCUACUGAGGAAUAAGAAGCUGGACACUGAAGUACAGCCCAGGUAACACCUUCAACACUGAAAUCCAGAUGAUGAGAUUAUCUUUCCAAAAUAGUGAAGCCCUCCAGUUGCUGAUGCCCGAGCCCAAGUUCAGAGACAGAAUACAGAGUCCUCUCUCUUUUCAAAAAAGGAGAAAUUAAAGGUCUCUACAGUGGGUUGAAUAUUAUUUUCAAGCAGUAGCUAACAUUAUUCUUCUGGAGCUCAUAUUUAUUUUCACUAGUCUGGUCUCAAGUCUCAGCAUAAAGAUUUUGAGGAGAAUUAUUAUGUAGAAAAAACUUUAUGCAUUCAAAAAUGUUCACCGUUACCCUGUUCCGCUCUGAGUGUUAGACUGAACAAAUGAGUAUCUACCUCCUACCAAUACACACGGACUCACCCACGGAGACCAGCUG